UACGUAGGGGGCUAGCGUUGUCCGGAAUCAUUGGGCGUAAAGCGCGUGUAGGCGGUCCGGUAAGUCCGCUGUGAAAGUCGAGGGCUCAACCCUCGAAUGCCGGUGGAUACUGUCGGGCUUGAGUACGGGAGAGGCGAGUGGAAUUCCUGGUGUAGCGGUGAAAUGCGCAGAUAUCAGGAGGAACACCGAUUGCGAAGGCAGCUCGCUGGAACGUUACUGACGCUGAGACGCGAAAGCUAGGGGAGCAAACGGG
Molecule: ribosomal RNA, 253 nt
Filed under: uncultured bacterium
Lineage: Bacteria
Description: partial 16S ribosomal RNA
Rfam family: Bacterial small subunit ribosomal RNA
Source: RNAcentral